This 482-nucleotide ribosomal RNA is filed under the name uncultured bacterium. RNAcentral describes it as "SSU rRNA". It matches the Rfam family "Bacterial small subunit ribosomal RNA", at positions 26 to 518 of the family's 1533-position model. The record is from RNAcentral.
AGGACGAACGCUGGCGGCGUGCCUAACACAUGCAAGUCGAACGAGGUCCAACCGGUGGCAACACUGGUGAAGACCUAGUGGCGAACGGGUGAGUAUCACGUGAGCAACCUGCCCCGAAGACUGGGAUAACACCGGGAAACCGGUGCUAAUACCGGAUACCCCCACCGGAUCGCAUGGUCUGGUGAGGAAAUGAAUUUUGCUUUGGGAGGGACUCGCGGCCUAUCAGCUUGUUGGUGGUGUAACGGACCACCAAGGCUUCGACGGGUAGCUGGUCUGAGAGGACGAUCAGCCACACUGGGACUGAGACACGGCCCAGACUCCUACGGGAGGCAGCAGUGGGGAAUCUUGCGCAGUGGGCGAAAGCCUGACGCAGCAACGCCGCGUGAGGGACGAAGGCCUUCUGGGUUGUAAACCUCUUUCAGCAGGGACGAUGAUGACGGUACCUGCAGAAGAAGCCCCGGCAACUACGUGCCAGCAGCCGC